RNAcentral lists this long non-coding RNA (360 nucleotides) under Carica papaya (papaya). RNAcentral's name for it is "long non-coding RNA (CPAP_LNC007845)". The record is from RNAcentral. Lineage: Eukaryota; Viridiplantae; Streptophyta; Magnoliopsida; Brassicales; Caricaceae.
AACCAAGCAUUCUUGAUGAAAUUGGGCUUUGCUAUGGUUGCGAAGCUCGACCUCCUAUGGGUCCAUGUCCUCACCCACAAGUAUAGAUGACCUGAUUUAUCAUGGAGCUACAAGCCGAUGGGACCAAUCUCCCAUCUUUGCGGCAACCUUAACCAUCACUGGAUGGACCUUCGAGUUUGCAUCAAAUGGUCCUUUGGUUAAGGGAGAAAUGUUAUAUUUUGGGAAUACUAUUGGUUAGAGGAUCUGGGGCUACUUAAGUUUUUGGCUUUUGGGCCUAUUGAGGAGCGGGAUCUCUAUAGAUGUGUCCAGGACUAUGUGGUGCCGUCCGACCAAUGGGAUUGGGAGGCCCUUCACCAGGUG